This is a non-coding RNA of Drosophila melanogaster (fruit fly), 1413 nucleotides long. The record is from Ensembl. NCBI's taxonomy places the organism in Eukaryota, Metazoa, Arthropoda, Insecta, Diptera, Drosophilidae.
ACACAUUUCCCCUUGCUGCACUUUUAUAAAUAAAAAUAUGAAUAUGAAUAUAUGAAUAUAUAUGAAUAUAUAUGAAUAUAUAUAUAUAUAAUAUAUGAAUAUAUAUAUAUAUACAUAUAUCUCUGCCGUGCAGUUGGACUCGGAUGGAGAUGAAGAUCCAUUUGACUUCCCCGAGGGAGGAUUCACAGGCGUUGAAACGAGUCCGCCUUGCCACACAAAUCGCCGUAGGAUUUUCCAAACAUCAGUUCACAGUUUCAAACAACACAGAAAAGAAGAUACGCGGUGGGAAGUGUUUCGAGUGCUAAGUGCGAUGGACACAACAGCUGCUCUCCUCGAAACUCGGAAUAGUCUUCAUCAUCAACUUUAGCGGCAUCAGCUUCGGAACAGAGUCAUUCCCUUUGGCCAUGUCAUCAUCAGAGCCAUCGUAAAUUGUUUACUGGAUGGCCUCAGAAAACUUGCUUCAAACAAAGUCAUGUGGACACCGGGCAAUGGGCGGUGGCCAAGAGUUUGAGGUGAACCUUCGUCCAUAAUGAUCACCAUCCGAAUCGAUAGUCAGUCAGAUUCAUCAUACAGAUUCCAGAUUUGGCCAACAAUUCGUUUCGUCGUUCUUUGAUGACACAUUGAGUCUUAUCCCGAAGUCAUUUCAGUCGAACCGCCACACAAGAGAGCUAUUUAAUUAAAUACAUAUGGGCUCCUAUAAUUUCAUCAGCCGUUUAAAAGAACAAAUACAUGGAAAAUUUCUUGCAAUUUAUAUUUACUAAGUGCAAAGCGAUAGCACAAAGAUGCGGCGGCAUGUAAUCAGUAGAAAUAAACACUUGCGCCUCUAAAUAGAUAAAAAUAUCUUCACUUCAAUAAACAUGAAAAUCAUCGGGCGGGCUGAAAACGAGCGCGAAAUGUGUUGAAAAUUGCACAAGCAAUGCGAUCAUAAAGCAUUCGCCAUUAAUGACACCAGCCCGACAGAUACAUCCCAUUGUCAAUAACUUUGCGCAGCGCAGAUUGCCAGCUCGUCGUCCCGCCCUCCCCCUAUUGCCCACCCGCAUUACAAAAUCAAAUUCAAAUUUCCCAAACGAGCAACCGCAGAAUGCAAAAUGCAGCCGAUGACGAUGUCGAUGCAACUGGCCCAAGGGGAAGUGGAAAGGAUUGGCGGCGCACACUGCUCUGACAUUUAGAAAUGUGGUAAGCAAACGUUCACUCCGCCUUUUUGGGGAAUUCCACAACGAAGUUUGCUAUCGAGUCCCAUUUGAAAAUCAACUAAACCGAUCUCAAACGCUUAAUGCCAAUCCAGUGAAAAACACCGGGCAUACAGAACUUGACAGUUCACUUCAAGAAAUAAAGAAAGUUUGAAGUUUGGUUUUUAGGCGGAGAGUUUUUAUACCAUUACUGAUCAUUUUAUAAUGUCGUAAUAAAUGGAAG